GCCUGUAGCUCAGUGGUAGAGCAACCGGCUCAUAACCGGUAGGUCGUAGGUUCGAAACCUGCCAGGCCC
Molecule: transfer RNA, 69 nt
Filed under: marine eukaryotic metagenome
Rfam family: tRNA
About the family: Transfer RNA (tRNA) molecules are approximately 80 nucleotides in length.
Source: RNAcentral